CGGUAAUUCCAGCUCCAAUAGCGUAUACUAAAGUUGUUGCAGUUAAAAAGCUCGUAGUUGGAUUUCUGCGGGGACGGAGCGGCCGGACGCAACUUGCGUCUCGAGCUAGCGCUUUCCCCGCAUCCUGCCGCGAACCGUGCUACCAUUAGUUUGGUGGCGCUGGGGAUCGGCUCGAUUACUUUGAGAAAAAUAGAGUGUUCAAAGCAGGCCACACGCCUUGAAUAAGUUAGCAUGGAAUAAUGACUAAGGACUUUGGUUCUUUUCGUUGGUGUUCGGGACUGAAGUAAUGAUUGAUAGGGACAGUUGGGGCGGUCCGUAUUCCAAAGCGAGAGGUGAAAUUCUUAGACCUUCGGAAGACGAACAGCUGCGAAAGCGUUCCGCAAGGAUGUUCCCUCUGAUCAAGAACGAAAGUUGGGGGAUCGAAGACGAUCAGAUACCGUCGUAGUCUCAACUAUAAACUAUACCAGCUAGGGAUCGGCCAACGUUUAAUUAUUCGACUUGGUCGGCACCUUAUGAGAAAUCAAAGCACCUGGGUUCCGGGGGGAGUAUGGUCGCAAGGCUGAAACUUAAAGGAAUUGACGGAAGGGCACCACCAGCCGUGGAGCCUGUGGCUUAAUUUGACUCAACACGGGAAAACUUACCAGGUCCAGACAUAGGAAGGAUUGACAGAUUGAUAGCUCUUUCUUGAUUCUGUGGGUGGUGGUGCAUGGCCGUUUUUAGUCGGUGAAGUGAUUUGUCUGCUUAAUUGCGUUAACGGACGAGACCCCAGCCUGCUAAAUAGCGCGGCCGAGCUUUGCUCGGUGCGAGCUUCUUAGAGGGACCAUGAUGCGCGAUAGCACAAGGAAGUUUGGGGCAACAACAGGUCUGUGAUGCCCUUAGAUGUUCUGGGCCGCACACGGGCUACACUGGCGCCUGCAACGAGCAUAUCAGCUGGCCCGAGAGGGUCUUGGCUAAUCUUUGGAACCGGCGCCGUGCUUGGGAUUGACCAUUGCAAUUGUUGGUCAUGCAACGAGGAAUGCCUUGUAAACGCGAGUCAUCAGCUCGCAUUGAAUACGUCCCUGCCCUUUGUACACACCGCCC
Molecule: ribosomal RNA, 1080 nt
Filed under: uncultured Rhizaria
Lineage: Eukaryota
Description: SSU rRNA
Rfam family: Eukaryotic small subunit ribosomal RNA
Source: RNAcentral